AGUGAACGCUGGCGGUAGGCCUAACACAUGCAAGUCGAACGGCAGCACAGUAAGAGCUUGCUCUUACGGGUGGCGAGUGGCGGACGGGUGAGGAAUACAUCGGAAUCUACUUUUUCGUGGGGGAUAACGUAGGGAAACUUACGCUAAUACCGCAUACGACCUACGGGUGAAAGCAGGGGAUCUUCGGACCUUGCGCGAUUGAAUGAGCCGAUGUCGGAUUAGCUAGUUGGCGGGGUAAAGGCCCACCAAGGCGACGAUCCGUAGCUGGUCUGAGAGGAUGAUCAGACACACUGGAACUGAGACACGGUCCAGACUCCUACGGGGGGCAGCAGUGGGGAAUAUUGGACAAUGGGCGCAAGCCUGAUCCAGCCAUACCGCGUGGGUGAAGAAGGCCUUCGGGUUGUAAAGCCCUUUUGUUGGGAAAGAAAAGCAGCAGGUUAAUACCCCGCUGUUCUGACGGUACCCAAAGAAUAAGCACCGGCUAACUUCGUG
RNAcentral lists this ribosomal RNA (492 nucleotides) under uncultured bacterium. Its description in RNAcentral is "partial 16S ribosomal RNA". It matches the Rfam family "Bacterial small subunit ribosomal RNA", at positions 29 to 507 of the family's 1533-position model. The record is from RNAcentral.